UACGGAGGAUGCAAGCGUUAUCCGGAAUGAUUGGGCGUAAAGCGUCCGCAGGUGGCUAUGUAAGUCUGCUGUUAAAGAGUGAGGCUCAACCUCAUAAGAGCAGUGGAAACUACACGGCUAGAGUGCGUUCGGGGCAGAGGGAAUUCCUGGUGUAGCGGUGAAAUGCGUAGAGAUCAGGAAGAACACCGGUGGCGAAAGCGCUCUGCUAGGCCGCAACUGACACUGAGGGACGAAAGCUAGGGGAGCGAAUGGG
Molecule: ribosomal RNA, 253 nt
Filed under: uncultured bacterium
Lineage: Bacteria
Description: partial 16S ribosomal RNA
Rfam family: Bacterial small subunit ribosomal RNA
Source: RNAcentral